Siniperca chuatsi (mandarin fish) is the source of this 686-nucleotide long non-coding RNA. RefSeq lists it as uncharacterized. The transcript is spliced from 2 exons. Lineage: Eukaryota; Metazoa; Chordata; Actinopteri; Centrarchiformes; Sinipercidae. The record is from RefSeq and is a predicted model, not a curated record.
CCUUCUCACCACCCCCGCCGGCGAGUGACCGUGCAUCCACUGGGGCUAUUAAGUACACCACCUUCCUUUACCCAUAACGCUGUGUCACUGGCUCCUGUUGAUGCGUCAUCCAGAUGUCUGAUCCGGGUCAUCGUCCUCCAAGAGACUCAGCCAUUGUUUGAUUUGACUAUGUUCAUAACUCUUCUUACAUGUUGUCUGCAAUGAACUGCUUCAUCCUCUCUUGGCAUCUCUUGUUUCUUCUCCCUCUGUGGGAGUGGUAUCCUUGAGUCUUGUCUCUUUUGUGUAUGAGUAUUAAAAUUGGUGAUACAAAGGAGAUUUUGUGGCACAGGUCCUAACAGUGCUUGGUGGCACCUAGAAGUUGCUUAACAUCUUCACGGAUCCAUAGUCUUCAUAUAUGUUUGCAUUUUAUUUACCAAAAAUUUGUCAUUCUAUCUCUUCACAUUGUAAUUUUAUAAUUGCUAUUUCUGCAUACUCUGUAUGUACGACAGAUAAUGUAUGUCUGUGCAGCCUAGAAGAGGAUGCUCUCCAUUGUUACUCUUCCUGAAGCUUGACCCAUUAAAGUUUGGAUUUUAGUUGAGUUUUUCCUUUCCAUCAGGAUUAAGAGUCACAGGUGUUGUACAAAUUGUAAAACACUCAGAGGCAAAUUUGUGAUUUGGGGCAAUAUGAAUAAAAUUGGCUUGACUUGA